UACAGGGGGUGCAAACGUUGCUCGGAAUUAUUGGGCGUAAAGCGCGCGUAGGCGGCUACUUAAGUCGGAUGUGAAAGCCCCUGGCUCAACUGGGGAAGUGCACCCGAAACUGAGUGGCUUGAGUGCGAAAGAGGGUCGCGGAAUUCCCGGUGUAGAGGUGAAAUUCGUAGAUAUCGGGAGGAACACCGGUGGCGAAGGCGGCGACCUGGGUCGACACUGACGCUGAGGCGCGAAAGCCAGGGAGCAAACGGG
Molecule: ribosomal RNA, 252 nt
Filed under: uncultured bacterium
Lineage: Bacteria
Description: partial 16S ribosomal RNA
Rfam family: Bacterial small subunit ribosomal RNA
Source: RNAcentral